GCCGGGCGUGGUGGCGCUCACCUGUAGUCCCAGCUACUCGGGAGGCUGAGGCCGGAGGAUCGCUUGAGCCCAGGAGGUCAAGGGUGCAGUGAGCUGUGAUUGUGCCACUGCACUCCAGCCUGGGUGACAGAGAGAGACCCUGCCCCCC
Unclassified non-coding RNA from Pongo abelii (Sumatran orangutan), 148 nucleotides. It matches the Rfam family "Metazoan signal recognition particle RNA". Rfam says of the family: The signal recognition particle (SRP) is a universally conserved ribonucleoprotein. It is involved in the co-translational targeting of proteins to membranes. The record is from Ensembl. NCBI's taxonomy places the organism in Eukaryota, Metazoa, Chordata, Mammalia, Primates, Hominidae.